GAUGAACGCUGGCGGCGUGCCUAAUACAUGCAAGUCGAGCGAACGGACGAGAAGCUUGCUUCUCUGAUGUUAGCGGCGGACGGGUGAGUAACACGUGGAUAACCUACCUAUAAGACUGGGAUAACUUCGGGAAACCGGAGCUAAUACCGGAUAAUAUUUUGAACCGCAUGGUUCAAAAGUGAAAGACGGCCUUGCUGUCACUUAUAGAUGGAUCCGCGCUGCAUUAGCUAGUUGGUAAGGUAACGGCUUACCAAGGCAACGAUGCAUAGCCGACCUGAGAGGGUGAUCGGCCACACUGGAACUGAGACACGGUCCAGACUCCUACGGGAGGCAGCAGUAGGGAAUCUUCCGCAAUGGGCGAAAGCCUGACGGAGCAACGCCGCGUGAGUGAUGAAGGUCUUCGGAUCGUAAAACUCUGUUAUUAGGGAAGAACAUAUGUGUAAGUAACUGUGCACAUCUUGACGGUACCUAAUCAGAAAGCCACGGCUAACUACGUGCCAGCAGCCGCGGUAAUACGUAGGUGGCAAGCGUUAUCCGGAAUUAUUGGGCGUAAAGCGCGCGUAGGCAGUUUUUUAAGUCUGAUGUGAAAGCCCACGGCUCAACCGUGGAGGGUCAUUGGAAACUGGAAAACUUGAGUGCAGAAGAGGAAAGUGGAAUUCCAUGUGUAGCGGUGAAAUGCGCAGAGAUAUGGAGGAACACCAGUGGCGAAGGCGACUUUCUGGUCUGUAACUGACGCUGAUGUGCGAAAGCGUGGGGAUCAAACAGGAUUAGAUACCCUGGUAGUCCACGCCGUAAACGAUGAGUGCUAAGUGUUAGGGGGUUUCCGCCCCUUAGUGCUGCAGCUAACGCAUUAAGCACUCCGCCUGGGGAGUACGACCGCAAGGUUGAAACUCAAAGGAAUUGACGGGGACCCGCACAAGCGGUGGAGCAUGUGGUUUAAUUCGAAGCAACGCGAAGAACCUUACCAAAUCUUGACAUCCUUUGACAACUCUAGAGAUAGAGCCUUCCCCUUCGGGGGACAAAGUGACAGGUGGUGCAUGGUUGUCGUCAGCUCGUGUCGUGAGAUGUUGGGUUAAGUCCCGCAACGAGCGCAACCCUUAAGCUUAGUUGCCAUCAUUAAGUUGGGCACUCUAAGUUGACUGCCGGUGACAAACCGGAGGAAGGUGGGGAUGACGUCAAAUCAUCAUGCCCCUUAUGAUUUGGGCUACACACGUGCUACAAUGGACAAUACAAAGGGCAGCGAAACCGCGAGGUCAAGCAAAUCCCAUAAAGUUGUUCUCAGUUCGGAUUGUAGUCUGCAACUCGACUACAUGAAGCUGGAAUCGCUAGUAAUCGUAGAUCAGCAUGCUACGGUGAAUACGUUCCCGGGUCU
This 1372-nucleotide ribosomal RNA is filed under the name uncultured bacterium. RNAcentral describes it as "bacterial SSU rRNA". It matches the Rfam family "Bacterial small subunit ribosomal RNA", at positions 28 to 1381 of the family's 1533-position model. The record is from RNAcentral.